GCACUGCUGACGAGUCCCANCCCAAACAGGACGAAACAGCUGUCCAGUGC
Molecule: non-coding RNA, 50 nt
Filed under: Echinostoma caproni
Lineage: Eukaryota; Metazoa; Platyhelminthes; Trematoda; Plagiorchiida; Echinostomatidae
Source: RNAcentral